GUUUCCCCUAGAGUUCUCCUGAUCACUUCAUUGGGACUUUAAAAAUGCCCUCAAAAUGGAAAGGGUAUUAAUUAUUAAUGCCUACUGAAGUGUUUGGGGGAACUCCAGGAGCCAC
Molecule: microRNA precursor, 115 nt
Organism: Nicotiana attenuata
Lineage: Eukaryota; Viridiplantae; Streptophyta; Magnoliopsida; Solanales; Solanaceae
Rfam family: mir-395 microRNA precursor family
About the family: mir-395 was identified in both Arabidopsis thaliana and Oryza sativa computationally and was later experimentally verified. mir-395 is thought to target mRNAs coding for ATP sulphurylases.
Source: Rfam